GCUUAACACAUGCAAGUCGAGCGAUCCCUUCGGGGAUAGCGGCGGACGGGUGAGUAACGCGUGGGAACGUGCCCUUCACUACGGAAUAGCCCAUGGAAACGUGGAUUAAUACCGUAUACGCCCUUCGGGGGAAAGAAUUUCGGUGAGGGAUCGGCCCGCGUCUGAUUAGGUAGUUGGUGGGGUAAUGGCCUACCAAGCCGACGAUCAGUAGCUGGUUUUAGAGGAUGAUCAGCCACACUGGGACUGAGACACGGCCCAGACUCCUACGGGAGGCAGCAGUGGGGAAUCUUAGACAAUGGGGGCAACCCUGAUCUAGCCAUGCCGCGUGAGUGAUGAAGGUCUUAGGAUCGUAAAGCUCUUUCGCCUGUGAUGAUAAUGACAGUAGCAGGUAAAGAAACCCCGGCUAACUCCGUGCCAGCAGCCGCGGUAAUACGGAGGGGGUUAGCGUUGUUCGGAAUUACUGGGCGUAAAGCGCGCGUAGGCGGACUGGAAAGUUGGGGGUGAAAUCCCGGGGCUCAACCCCGGAACUGCCUUCAAAACUAUCAGUCUAGAGUUCGAGAGAGGUGAGUGGAAUUGCGAGUGUAGAGGUGAAAUUCGUAGAUAUUCGCAGGAACACCAGUGGCGAAGGCGGCUCACUGGCUCGAUACUGACGCUGAGGUGCGAAAGUGUGGGGAGCAAACAGGAUUAGAUACCCUGGUAGUCC
Molecule: ribosomal RNA, 703 nt
Filed under: uncultured Alphaproteobacteria bacterium
Lineage: Bacteria; Pseudomonadati; Pseudomonadota; Alphaproteobacteria
Description: bacterial SSU rRNA
Rfam family: Bacterial small subunit ribosomal RNA
Source: RNAcentral